UGCAUAAUACUGCUGUACAGUGGAAUGGAAUGGUCUGGACUCUGCCUGAAACAAAGACUAAUGGAUGAGUACUGCAGCAGGCUAAGGUUGGCCAAGGAGUAUCCUUAGUAACAAUAAUUAAGCCUAGGGAGGCUGCAAGAUUAUCCCUGCAGGAUUUUUUGGGAAAGUUUGAGCAGAAUUGCAUCAGUGGUGCCCAGUGUGCAGUGAUAGCUUUGGAGUAGGAGUGCUCCAGAAGACCUCCUGGGCAUCUUUCCAGACCAGUUUGCUCUGAUCAAACAACUAAUUCUGCAAGGAUAAAAUUGGGAAAACAUCGAGAAAUGAGUGAAAGCAGUGGACCAGCUGGGAUCUGUUUACACAAACUGUUAAAGGAGAAUAGACCCCAGAGCAUCUCCUCAGCAAAGCUGCUGAAGCUGUGGCAGGACCAGGGCUGCCUCCCCAGUCAUCCCUUCACUGGUCAGUAUUGAGGGCUCUGGGACCUUGAUUUGAAGGCUGAUAAUUGAAGAUCUGAGCUUUUAAGGCGCUGCAAGAUCAAGUGAAGCAAAACUUAACACUUGGUGAGCUUUAGGAAUAUGAAUGAAGUCCAGAACAUUAAUGCAGUGCUUAAAGGCUUUGCAGCAUGAAUUCCAGAGGUGGGUAGCUGCCUAUAGACAACAGGGUCUGUUCCACAGUAAAUUCUCUGGAUCAGCAUGACUGUCUGUGAAGAGUUCUUGUGGGAGACAAAAGACCCUUGCUUGAGUCCUUUCCCAAAGUGCAAACAUUCACACUGCAGUGACCAGCAGUAAUUGCACACGGUAGUUCCCAAUGACCAUCGUUUCUUUCUACCUUGCUCUGGACUGGAGGAGGAUUGUAAUUCCAUGUUUGGAUUUCCUGGAGGAAUACGGAUUCCUCCACAAGUAAUGGCCUCAAGACUUUUUUGUCAAAACAGGAGGCAUAGUCUACAGCAUCAUGUUGCCUUGCUCUGGCCAUAGA
Non-coding RNA from Zonotrichia albicollis (white-throated sparrow), 969 nucleotides. The record is from RefSeq and is a predicted model, not a curated record. Lineage: Eukaryota; Metazoa; Chordata; Aves; Passeriformes; Passerellidae.